RNAcentral lists this ribosomal RNA (506 nucleotides) under uncultured bacterium. RNAcentral describes it as "bacterial SSU rRNA". It matches the Rfam family "Bacterial small subunit ribosomal RNA", at positions 18 to 518 of the family's 1533-position model. The record is from RNAcentral.
CCUGGCUUAGGAUGAACGCUAGCGACAGGCCUAACACAUGCAAGUCGAGGGCAGCACAAGGAGCAAUCUGAGGUGGCGACCGGCGCACGGGUGAGUAACACGUAUGCAACCUGCCUGUAAGCGGGGAAUAACCCGUUGAAAGACGGACUAAUACCGCAUAAUACUAAAUUACUGCAUGGUAAUUUAUUUAAACAUUUAUGGCUUACAGAUGGGCAUGCGCAUGAUUAGCUAGUUGGAGAGGUAACGGCUCCCCAAGGCAACGAUCAUUAGGGGUUCUGAGAGGAAGGUCCCCCCACACUGGUACUGAGACACGGACCAGACUCCUACGGGAGGCAGCAGUGAGGAAUAUUGGUCAAUGGACGAGAGUCUGAACCAGCCAAGUCGCGUGCAGGAAGAAUUGUCCUAUGGAUUGUAAACUGCUUUUGCAGGGGAAUAAAGUGCAUCACGUGUGAUGUUUUGUAUGUACUCUGCGAAUAAGGAUCGGCUAACUCCGUGCCAGCCGCCGC